This 714-nucleotide ribosomal RNA is filed under the name uncultured bacterium. RNAcentral describes it as "bacterial SSU rRNA". It matches the Rfam family "Bacterial small subunit ribosomal RNA", at positions 65 to 774 of the family's 1533-position model. The record is from RNAcentral.
AGCGGGAAGUAGUUUACUACUUUGCCGGCGAGCGGCGGACGGGUGAGUAAUGUCUGGGAAACUGCCUGAUGGAGGGGGAUAACUACUGGAAACGGUAGCUAAUACCGCAUAACGUCUUCGGACCAAAGUGGGGGACCUUCGGGUCUCACGCCAUCGGAUGUGCCCAGAUGGGAUUAGCUAGUAGGUGGGGUAAUGGCUCACCUAGGCGACGAUCCCUAGCUGGUCUGAGAGGAUGACCAGCCACACUGGAACUGAGACACGGUCCAGACUCCUACGGGAGGCAGCAGUGGGGAAUAUUGCACAAUGGGCGCAAGCCUGAUGCAGCCAUGCCGCGUGUGUGAAGAAGGCCUUCGGGUUGUAAAGCACUUUCAGCGAGGAGGAAGGCCAAUAACUUAAUACGUUGUUGGAUUGACGUUACUCGCAGAAGAAGCACCGGCUAACUCCGUGCCAGCAGCCGCGGUAAUACGGAGGGUGCAAGCGUUAAUCGGAAUUACUGGGCGUAAAGCGCACGCAGGCGGUUUGUUAAGUCAGAUGUGAAAUCCCCGCGCUUAACGUGGGAACUGCAUUUGAAACUGGCAAGCUAGAGUCUUGUAGAGGGGGGUAGAAUUCCAGGUGUAGCGGUGAAAUGCGUAGAGAUCUGGAGGAAUACCGGUGGCGAAGGCGGCCCCCUGGACAAAGACUGACGCUCAGGUGCGAAAGCGUGGGGAGCAAACA